RNAcentral lists this long non-coding RNA (982 nucleotides) under Ananas comosus (pineapple). RNAcentral's name for it is "long non-coding RNA (ACOM_LNC006680)". The record is from RNAcentral. Lineage: Eukaryota; Viridiplantae; Streptophyta; Magnoliopsida; Poales; Bromeliaceae.
UAUAUAUAUAUAUAGGGUCCGGCUACUAUACUAUUAUGAGUACGAUCGCUCUCGUACUCAUAAAUCGUCUUCGAUGAUAGAGCUUUCGAAUCAAUGAUUCAUACCGUUAAACAUUAUUUACGGUAUUUAAAAUUUCUAGAAAUCAAAUUUUAUAAUUUUUUGAAAUCAUUUAUCUUACAAUUAAGAGGUCACAAAUUUAACAAUUUUUAAUGGCCGGUAUGGGAUACUUGCUAGUUUAAUGGUGUAAAAGAAUCGAAAUUUGUUGAAUUUUUGAUAGAAAAUUCUAUUCACUACCUAGAUAAAAAUCAAUAACUUCGAUCUUGAGUUGAAGGAUCCGAUCAUCCAUUCUAAGUCGUUCGAUUUUGACCGUUCAUUUUAUGCCCGCUUGAUGGACUUUAUUAUGAUUUCGAAAAUUUACGAAAUUUAUUUUCUAGAAGUUUCAAAUAUUCUAGAUCAUAUUUAAUGGAGUGGAUCGUCGAUUCGGAAGCUCCAUCAUUGAAAAUAACUUAUGAGUACUAGGAUUCCAAUACUCAUAAUAGUAUAGUAGCCAUGGCCUAUAUAAGUAUAUAUAUAUAAAGCAAGGCUACUGUGCUAUUAGGAGCACAGUAGGCCUUAUGCUCCUAACUUUCUAACCACCCAUCAAAUUUGAUGGAUGGUUAGAAUAAGAUAAGGAAUUAGAGAUAUUGGGAAGAGAUAAAUGUAUACUUGAAAUAACUAGGAACGUAAAAGGGGUAUUUUUAAUAUUAACUUUCUAAGAGGAAUAAAUUAGAAAAUCGAAAACUUUUCAGCAGUAUAAAGGCAAUUGCCCCUAUUUAAUAUAAAAUGAUUUAAAAUUUUAAUUUGAAUCCUUGCUCUUCCGAAAUAAAAUUUUAGUAUCCUCUUUUUAUUAAUCAGCUAAAAGAUGAUAAGAUUAAAAAAAAUUGUUUUAAAAAAAAAGCUAAAUUGAUAAUUUUUAUUUUAAAUAAGAUUAAAGUAUAGAAUU